RNAcentral lists this ribosomal RNA (257 nucleotides) under uncultured bacterium. RNAcentral's name for it is "partial 16S ribosomal RNA". It matches the Rfam family "Bacterial small subunit ribosomal RNA", at positions 521 to 776 of the family's 1533-position model. The record is from RNAcentral.
UAAGACGAACCGUGCGAACGUUAUUCGGAAUCACUGGGCUUAAAGCGCGUGUAGGCGGAUGGGUGCAUCGAUUGCUGAAAGCCCCCGGCUCAACCGGGGAAGUGGCGUCGAGAUGGCCCGUCUUGAGGGGGGUAGGGGGACCUGGAACUUCCGGUGGAGCGGUGAAAUGCGUUGAGAUCGGAAGGAACGCCCGUGGCGAAAGCGAGGUCCUGGACCCUUUCUGACGCUGAGACGCGAAAGCCAGGGGAGCAAACGGG